GACGAACGCUGGCGGCGUGCUUAACACAUGCAAGUCGAACGGUGACGAGCAGCUUGCUGCUCUGAUCAGUGGCGAACGGGUGAGUAACACGUGAGCAACCUACCCUUGACUCCGGGAUAACAGUUGGAAACAGCUGCUAAUACCGGAUACGACCUCGACCGACAUCGGUUGGGGUGGAAAGUUCUGGCGGUCAAGGAUGGGCUCGCGGCCUAUCAGCUAGUUGGUGAGGUAACGGCUCACCAAGGCUUCGACGGGUAGCCGGCCUGAGAGGGCGACCGGCCACACUGGGACUGAGAUACGGCCCAGACUCCUACGGGAGGCAG
RNAcentral lists this ribosomal RNA (323 nucleotides) under uncultured Actinomycetes bacterium. Its description in RNAcentral is "bacterial SSU rRNA". It matches the Rfam family "Bacterial small subunit ribosomal RNA", at positions 28 to 351 of the family's 1533-position model. The record is from RNAcentral. Lineage: Bacteria; Bacillati; Actinomycetota; Actinomycetes.